AUUAGAGUUUGAUCCUGGCUCAGAAUCAACGCUGGCGGCGUGCCUCAGACAUGCAAGUCGAACGCGAAAGAGAACUUCGGUUCUCGAGUAGAGUGGCGCACGGGUGAGUAACACGUAGGUAAUCUACCUCCGAGUGGGGAAUAACUUGUGGAAACGCAAGCUAAUACCGCAUAACACCGAAAGGUCAAAGCUUAAAGUGCUUGGAGAGGAGCCUGCGGCAGAUUAGCUAGUUGGUAAGGUAAUGGCUUACCAAGGCGACGAUCUGUAUCCGGUCUAAGAGGACGGUCGGACACACUGACACUGAAUAACGGGUCAGACUCCUACGGGAGGCAGCAGUCGGGAAUUUUGGGCAAUGGGCGCAAGCCUGACCCAGCAACGCCGCGUGAAGGAUGAAGUCCUUCGGGAUGUAAACUUCGAAAGAAUGGGAAGAAGAAAAUGACGGUACCAUUUAUAAGCCCCGGCUAACUCCGUGCCAGCAGCCGCGGUAAUACGGAGGGGGCAAGCGUUGUUCGGAUUUACUGGGCGUAAAGGGCGCGUAGGCGGUCGAAUAAGUUACUUGUGAAAUUUAUGAGCUUAACUCAUAACGGUCAAGUAAUACUGUUCUGACUCGAGUGCAGAAGGGGCAACUGGAAUUCUUGGUGUAGCGGUGAAAUGCGUAGAUAUCAAGAGGAACACCGGAGGCGAAGGCGGGUUGCUGGGCUGACACUGACGCUGAGGCGCGAAAGCUAGGGGAGCAAACAGGAUUAGAUACCCUGGUAGUCCUAGCCAUAAACGAUGGAUGCUUGGUGUCUGGAGUAAUAGUCUCCGGGUGCCGUCGCUAACGCUGUUAGCAUCCCGCCUGGGGAGUACGCACGCAAGUGUGAAACUCAAAGGAAUUGACGGGGACCCGCACAAGCGGUGGAGCAUGUGGUUUAAUUCGACGCAACGCGAAGAACCUUACCUGGACUAGAAUGCGAGGGAAGAUUACGUAACGGUAAUCGUCCGGGCAACCGGACCCGAAGCAAGGUGCUGCAUGGCUGUCGUCAGCUCGUGUCGUGAGAUGUUGGGUUAAGUCCCGCAACGAGCGCAACCCUUAUCAACAGUUGCUAACAGUUCGGCUGAGAACUCUGUUGAGACUGCCGUUGGUAAAACGGAGGAAGGUGGGGAUGACGUCAAGUCCUCAUGGCCUUUAUGUUCAGGGCUACACACGUGCUACAAUGGACGGUACAAAGUGUUGCAAUCCCGCGAGGGGGAGCUAAUCGCAAAAAGCCGUUCUCAGUUCGGAUUGAAGUCUGCAACUCGACUUCAUGAAGCUGGAAUCGCUAGUAAUCGCAGAUCAGAACGCUGCGGUGAAUACGUUCCCGGGUCUUGUACACACCGCCCGUCACAUCACGAAAGUGGGUUGUACUAGAAGUGGUAAAGCUAACUUUUCGGAGAGGCAUAUCACCACGGUAUGAUUCAUGAUUGGGGUGAAGUCGUAACAAGGUAACCAAU
RNAcentral lists this ribosomal RNA (1473 nucleotides) under uncultured bacterium. RNAcentral describes it as "bacterial SSU rRNA". It matches the Rfam family "Bacterial small subunit ribosomal RNA". The record is from RNAcentral.